UACAUAGGGUGCAAGCGUUGUCCGGAAUUAUUGGGCGUAAAGAGCUCGUAGGUUGUUUGACACGUCGGAUGUGAAAAUCUGAGGCUUAACCUCAGACCUGCAUUCGAUACGGUCUUACUAGAGUGUGGUAGGGGAGACUGGAAUUCCUGGUGUAGCGGUGGAAUGCGCAGAUAUCAGGAGGAACACCAAUGGCGAAGGCAGGUCUCUGGGCCAUUACUGACACUGAGGAGCGAAAGCGCGGGGAGCGAACAGGAUUAGAUACCCUGGUAGUCCGCGCCGUAAACGGUGGGCACUAGUUGUGGGAACCUUCCACGGUUUCCGCGACGCAGCUAACGCAUUAAGUGCCCCGCCUGGGGAGUACGAUCGCAAGAUUAAA
RNAcentral lists this ribosomal RNA (376 nucleotides) under uncultured bacterium. Its description in RNAcentral is "bacterial SSU rRNA". It matches the Rfam family "Bacterial small subunit ribosomal RNA", at positions 524 to 898 of the family's 1533-position model. The record is from RNAcentral.